CGUCAUCGUAGGGUUAGUCGGGACCUAAGUCGAGUCCGAAAGGGGUAGACGAUGGCAAAUAGGUUAAUAUUCCUAUACCGACGGUUGUUUGUUUGAAUGAUGGGGGGACGCAUAGAGUUAAUCGAGCUCGCUGAUGGAAUAGCGGGUCGAAGGACGUAGGUCGAGAAGUAGGAAAAUCCGCUUCUCAUGAGACCGAGAUCUUACAGGCUCUGCAAUGGCUUCGGCCAGCGCGGAGAAUCGAUGAUACUGUCGUGCCGAGAAAAGCCUCUAAAUGAGAACAACCGUUGCCCGUACCGCAAACCGACACAGGUGGGUGAGAUGAGUAUUCUAAGGCGCGUGGAUGAACCCUGGUUAAGGAACUCUGCAAACUAGCACCGUAUCUUCGGUAUAAGGUGUGCCCUGUCUGUUAAAGAAUUUACUUCUUGAAGCGGAUAAGGGUCGCAGCAAAGUGUCCCUCCCGACUGUUUAC
RNAcentral lists this ribosomal RNA (469 nucleotides) under uncultured bacterium. RNAcentral's name for it is "bacterial LSU rRNA". It matches the Rfam family "Bacterial large subunit ribosomal RNA", at positions 1367 to 1807 of the family's 2925-position model. The record is from RNAcentral.